GAUGAACGCUAGCUACAGGCUUAACACAUGCAAGUCGCGGGGCAGCAUGGGGGUUGCUUGCCAUCCCCGAUGGCGACCGGCGCACGGGUGAGUAACGCGUAUCCAACCUGCCCUUCACCACGGGAUAACCCGGCGAAAGUCGGACUAAUACCGUAUGUUGUCCAUUGACGGCAUCCGAUUUGGACGAAAGGCUUGGCGGUGAGGGAUGGGGAUGCGUCCGAUUAGCCAGACGGCGGGGUAACGGCCCACCGUGGCUACGAUCGGUAGGGGUUCUGAGAGGAAGGUCCCCCACACUGGAACUGAGACACGGUCCAGACUCCUACGGGAGGCAGCAGUGAGGAAUAUUGGUCAAUGGGCGUAAGCCUGAACCAGCCAAGUAGCGUGCAGGAUGACGGCCCUAUGGGUUGUAAACUGCUGUUAUGCGGGGAUAAAGUGGCCCACGUGUGGGCUUUUGCAGGUACCGCAUGAAUAAGGACCGGCUAAUUCCGUG
This 490-nucleotide ribosomal RNA is filed under the name uncultured bacterium. RNAcentral describes it as "partial 16S ribosomal RNA". It matches the Rfam family "Bacterial small subunit ribosomal RNA", at positions 28 to 507 of the family's 1533-position model. The record is from RNAcentral.